RNAcentral lists this unclassified non-coding RNA (2099 nucleotides) under Nilaparvata lugens (brown planthopper). RNAcentral's name for it is "uncharacterized LOC111050857, transcript variant X3". Lineage: Eukaryota; Metazoa; Arthropoda; Insecta; Hemiptera; Delphacidae. The record is from RNAcentral.
CUUCCAACUUGUUGCUGUCUUGAAUUAGUUCAUACUGUUGCCAUGGGUGAUUGCAGUGUUGGCGACUUUCUGCUGGUAUUCCUCCUCUUGGCCAUCCCUCACAAUGGAUUGUCUGAAAAAGAUGGAGAAGGUGAGGUACCGGUCAUCCGGCCUGUUGAAUGUUUACAACUGUACUCGAAGCCGACUGGUCACAAAGGAGACACGUUGAUCAUUGGAUCCAAUUCCACGUACCAGAGUGUCAAACACGUUUUUCCUGAUUUUGACAAUGAAGAUUGUGCUCCAAUGAAUAGCGAGGAAUAUGAUGUCAACAAAUAUGGGACCAAAAUUUUCAAGCGCUCAAAUUCUGUAUAUUUCAAUGUACCUGUGGGGGAGCAACUCCACGAAGUGACGGCAACUGAUUAUUUCAUCCAUUUUGGUGUGCAGGCUUUCAAUUGUGAAGUGAAAAAGGAUGGAACUGAAGAAUCGCAACGUUAUGUGAAAAUUGUGAACUCAAUGUCCAGCAUCGAGGACAAUAUUCGUGAGAUAAAAUACCACAGCGGGGUUUCAGUGUCAAUUGAAAAAUGUGGAGGUCGAAAAUGUAUCCAAGUUACCGAGACCAAAUGUAUGGCAGAGCAAGGAGAAGAUCUUGUUCAGUUCAAAUGUGACUAUGCUACUGGAAGACUAUACAGGCCUUCAAUCAUUAUUCCAAAUAUGAAGGAUAAACAUCUUAACCGGAGGGAGAGAACAAUUGCUGGAUAUCUGUUUAAGAGUGAGGAAGAGGGAAAUGUGACCAUAUCUGAGGAGGGGGAAUCGUUCAGGAUAGGCAUCAAUGAGAAUCCUUCUGGAUUUGAUCCAACAACUCCUCCUCAACCAUCGUCUAGACUUAUUAAUGUCGAGUGUCAACCGCCAAUUAUAAACCCAACUAUAUUUCAUCCUGAGUGUUAUCAAAAAGUUAAGAAUGAAGGGAAUAACUUAUUCAAAGAUGUUCUUUUGAAUGAUGAACAAUUUCGGAAAUCAUUCACAGUUGUUGAUGAAACGGUUCAAAUCUGUCAGGAGAGGAAUACGUAUGGGCGAGUCUUCUAUCUUGUGCGAAUGACUGUAAUUGGCAAAACAAAAGUCAAUCGAAUCAUGUAUGGUUCAGGAAUCACCGAGCUAUAUUCCAUCAAUUUUGAUGCCGGAGCAGCCACUGUCCAAUACACGGACGAGAGAAUCUAUGAUGCAAUCACACGUACAAUAGUAUAUGAUGUUUAUUACAAGAAUGCGUUUCUUAUUGACAAGAAAACAAAAAUCUCCACACCUAAUUCAGCGCCAGCUGCUCACACACCUUCAGAUGCCGAAGCCACAUCUCGAUCCCUUGAUGUGGACUACAAGCUAUGGCCUGAAGGAAUCUACUCAACGUUCAUCAGUGGAGAUGGGUAUAGUCUCCUAGUGGGCUCAAAACCCAAAUUAGAUAUUGACUUCGGGACUGCAAGUUGCAAAAAAGUGGAUUAUUUGAGUGAUCAUUACAAAACUGAACUGAAAAUAAUUGCUGAAAACGGUGGAGAAUCCUAUGCUCACUUAACAGAGAAUAUAGAUAAUUGGUCCAGGAUCAUCCAACAACAAUCUUGGAGAUGUGAAUAUAAAGAUAGAACAGAAAGGAGAAGCUAUUUCAUAAGAGUGGUCAAUCACCUGGAGAUUUUAGAACCAGUCCACAUGCUGCAGUCUUAUGAUGGUGUUGAGAUUCUGAGGAGACCAUCUGCAGAGAAAUAUAUACUGGAAAUUUUUGAAUUGAAAUACCUUUUGGAAAAUCCAGAUAACCCAGAGGAUCAUUUAACUCCAAUAAGGGCCAGUGGUGAUAUCAGUUUUGCCGCUGAUGAUAGGCCUAGUGACACUGACACCGCUUAUGCGAUGGGGUGGAUACUUCAUACUUGAAUCAACACCAAGUGGACAAGUUUGGACAAGUGGAACCAUAAAUCUCAAAAAACCACCUUCUUCAUCAAAAGUGACUGUGCACGUGGAUGAGACACAACAAGUGUACUAUUCUGAUGGUAAUAGAGGAAGAGAGUAUAGGUUCCAUUUGCCUGGAGAUCAGACAUCCAAAGAGUGGCAAGAGAAGAGGAUGAUGAGAAUUGGUGAGAUCA